GGUUUUGUAGUGAAAUUCAUGUUGAGUUGCAAGCUCAUUGAUGUACGUUUAGGCGUACCAAGACCU
RNAcentral lists this transfer RNA (66 nucleotides) under Calyptomena viridis (green broadbill). Its description in RNAcentral is "tRNA-Cys". The record is from RNAcentral. Lineage: Eukaryota; Metazoa; Chordata; Aves; Passeriformes; Eurylaimidae.